Molecule: transfer RNA, 88 nt
Filed under: Armatimonadota bacterium
Lineage: Bacteria; Bacillati; Armatimonadota
Description: tRNA-Ser
Rfam family: tRNA
About the family: Transfer RNA (tRNA) molecules are approximately 80 nucleotides in length. Their secondary structure includes four short double-helical elements and three loops (D, anti-codon, and T loops).
Source: RNAcentral
GGACAGGUGUCCGAGCGGUUUAAGGAGCGCGCCUGGAGAGCGCGUGGGUGUAACAGCCUCGUGGGUUCGAAUCCCACCCUGUCCGCCA